GGAGAGAUGGCUGAGAGGUCGAAGGCGCUCGACUGGAAAUCGAGUGUACGCCCCAAAAGGCGUACCGAGGGUUCGAAUCCCUCUCUCUCCGCCA
Molecule: transfer RNA, 94 nt
Filed under: Thermovenabulum gondwanense
Lineage: Bacteria; Bacillati; Bacillota; Clostridia; Thermosediminibacterales; Thermosediminibacteraceae
Description: tRNA-Ser
Rfam family: tRNA
About the family: Transfer RNA (tRNA) molecules are approximately 80 nucleotides in length. Their secondary structure includes four short double-helical elements and three loops (D, anti-codon, and T loops).
Source: RNAcentral